GAUCCUGGCUCAGGAUGAACGCUGGCGGCGUGCCUAACACAUGCAAGUCGAACGAAGCAAUUAAAAUGAAGUUUUCGGAUGGAUUUUUAAUUGACUGAGUGGCGGACGGGUGAGUAACGCGUGGAUAACCUGCCUCACACUGGGGGAUAACAGUUAGAAAUGACUGCUAAUACCGCAUAAGCGCACAGUGCCGCAUGGUACAGUGUGAAAAACUCCGGUGGUGUGAGAUGGAUCCG
Molecule: ribosomal RNA, 236 nt
Filed under: uncultured bacterium
Lineage: Bacteria
Description: partial 16S ribosomal RNA
Rfam family: Bacterial small subunit ribosomal RNA
Source: RNAcentral